CUCAAGAGAGGAAGAAAUCAUAUAUUAGAUAAAAUUGUUGGGUUAGAGUAAUGAUAUUACAUGAGGAACAUCAUCCAAAUGUGAUGUGCAAUCUAAAUGUUUUCUUCACAACAAAACUUAAACUCGAAGUAUCCAUCAACAUUCGUACAACUUAUCUAAAACUUAACGAGGAACAUCAUCUAGCAAGAACUUCAUCCCUACAACUUAAGUAAAACUGAAAGCCUCCAUCGUCAUCAUCAUCAUGAACAGGAACAUUGUCUUCAUCAUUGUUGUAUAGUUUCCACGCACCCAUAUAAUCAUCCAUUUAUCUUUUGAAUCUACAUACAAAAAACACAAAUGAACUAUUAACGCACAAUGCAUUGACAUGCUGCAAGAAGUGAUAGAGGCAGGCUACUAGCAAUGUAUCUGCAAGUAUAUCUCUAUAUGCAAACUCCAUAAGUUCAUCUACAUCGGCUGAGUAAUGAGGACUUUUUCUAGGAAAUCACAAUAGUAAUUUGGUGGAUUCUAAAUCCAUUGCACACUACAUAAAAUAACAAAUAUUACUACAGUUGUAACCAUUAAUGAACUGCAAAAGCUUAGAUAGCAAAUAUUUUAUUUGUGAUUUAAGUUCCUAUCAUGGCACAACAGAAAUUCACAAUUAUAGUAUUUUUAGACAAUGCAAGCAUCUUCCUCCCAGCCUUUGCAACAUAGAAGGCAGAACUUUCUUCCAACAUUGUAAAAAAGGCUAGUAAGGUUAUUCUACUAUGCACACUAGUCACCAACCCAUGCACAGGCUAACAAUCGUGUGUUUCACAUUGGUAGCUAGAAAUAACUACUAUGGUGACUAGAAAUUGUUAGCUAGAUGUGACCUCAGUAAUGGUUUCUCCUUAUGCCAUUUCUCUUUAAGAAAAACGACGAAAUUGGAGAGAAAUUGUGUAUGCUGCUUGGAGACCAGGUGCCACCCCAACUGAUGACGUUAGACAAAGGAGGUGCUGUAGAAUAAGAGAAAACUUAUUAGGAUGCUUGGUCACUGCAAAGUCAUGAUACAAUCAAACAAAAACUACCCAAAACGAUUUCUGAGUAAAUUUUGAUAGUGAGUACGUAAUUAGCAACACACCCUUGAUGAGAAAUUCAUACAUGUAGAAAUUAUAUAAGACCAUCAGGACAUAGUUAAUGGGGUUUAUGUUGGAUAUCAAGCCCAAGAUUUAACAAUAUUUAGCUUAUAUUAGUGACAUGUGCUGCAAAAUUCUUAAUGUAUAUAACUGGAUAUUCGACUCUAGAUACAUAUUGAAUAUAUUGUAUAUUUUACACGAUGGGAUUUCUUUGAGCCAUGUAAAUUGUCUCUUUUUUUACCUAAAGUACACUCUCAGCACCCUAUAAAUCCCUUGNAUAAAUACUUCUGCAUGGAACAAAUAAUUCUUCCACGAGUGCUAGGUAAGGCUAGAAGGAUGGUUAAUUGAGAGGUUGGCAAGCAAUUUGUAUUCUUGCCACGACGGGUUAACAUGCAUGCCUGUGUGUUGCCAGCGCUGGCUAGGAUCUUAAUUAACGAAGCCAUAAAAUUAUUUUGGCUAACCUUCUACAUGACCUAUUAAAUUAUCACCACCACAUAUAAUUAUUGAUGUAUUUGUCCUUCCUCAACGGAAGCAUUCUUAAAGCCUCAAAACAUUGUUAUUCAUGAGUUAAGCCAAGACAAUGUCCACCAGCUUCUAAUUGGCACACUCAUUCUCAUGACGGUGGUGUUGGUCUGAUGUAGUUAGGAGAAGACACUGAAAAUGUUUGGUGAGCAAUUUCUUAGAAUUAUAGACCAUAGGCAAAAAGAUUCAUAUGUCAUUAGAAAUUGCAAUAAAUUAGAUCUAAGUUUUAAAGUGUCAAUAUGAUCAUAGAAAACACUAAGUAUGCCUGAUGGCCCAUAUAUUUUCACAUUUAACGAAACAAACUAUGAAGACACUGACCUUAUCAGAUCAAAUGAGGUAGAUUUGGUAAUUAUUAAGUUCAUCCUUUGCUCUGCUUGCAUGCCACAUACCUGCAC
This 2008-nucleotide long non-coding RNA is filed under the name Hordeum vulgare. RNAcentral describes it as "long non-coding RNA (HVUL_LNC005093)". The record is from RNAcentral. Lineage: Eukaryota; Viridiplantae; Streptophyta; Magnoliopsida; Poales; Poaceae.